CAGAAUAUCUGGGACGAGCAU
Molecule: microRNA, 21 nt
Filed under: Oryza sativa (Asian cultivated rice)
Lineage: Eukaryota; Viridiplantae; Streptophyta; Magnoliopsida; Poales; Poaceae
Description: osa-miR5497
Source: miRBase by way of RNAcentral